Mahella australiensis 50-1 BON is the source of this 152-nucleotide regulatory RNA element. The record is from Rfam. NCBI's taxonomy places the organism in Bacteria, Bacillati, Bacillota, Clostridia, Mahellales, Mahellaceae.
UUGCGUAGGCGUACUCAAUGAGUGCAGCGCAGAGCAAGCGUAGGUCGGGCAUGGACGCCCGACCAGCCGACACUGAGCAUGGACGCGAAUUGCCGGCGCUAGCUUGCUGAAGCGAAACGAAUUAUAAGUACGCAAUCAUUACGUGGCACAAG